GAUGAACGCUGGCGGCGUGCCUAAUACAUGCAAGUCGAGCGAACAGACGAAGAUUUUUCUCCGCUGACGUUACCGGCGGACGGGUGAGUAACACGUGGAUAACCUACCUAUAAGGCUUAGAUAACUUCAGGAAACCGUAGCUAAUACCGGAUAAUAUAUUGAACCGCAUGGUUCAAUAGUGAAAUACGGUUUUUCGGUCACUUAUAGAUGUAUCCGCGCCGCAUUAGCUAGUUGGUAAGGUAACGGCUUACCAAGGCAACGAUGCGUAGCCGACCUGAGAGGGUGAUAGGCCACACUGGAACUGAGACACGGACCAGACUCCUACGGGACGCACCAGAAGGGAAUCUUCCGCAGUAGGCGAAAGCAUGACGGAGCAACGCCGAGUGAGUGAUGAAGGUCUUCGGAGCGUAAAACUCUGUUAUUAGGGAAGAACAAAUGUGUAAGUAAAUAUGCACGUCUUGACGGUACCUACUCAGAAAGCAACGGCUAACUACGUG
This 497-nucleotide ribosomal RNA is filed under the name uncultured bacterium. RNAcentral's name for it is "partial 16S ribosomal RNA". It matches the Rfam family "Bacterial small subunit ribosomal RNA", at positions 28 to 507 of the family's 1533-position model. The record is from RNAcentral.